GAUGAACGCUGGCGGCGUGCUUAACACAUGCAAGUCGAACGGACUCAUAUUGAAACCUAGUGAAGUAUGAGUUAGUGGCGGACGGGUGAGUAACGCGUGGAAAACCUGCCGUAUACUGGGGGAUAACACUUAGAAAUAGGUGCUAAUACCGCAUAAGCGCACAGCUUCGCAUGAAGCGGUGUGAAAAACUCUGGUGGUAUACGAUGGUUCCGCGUCUGAUUAGCUAGUUGGUGGGGUAAUGGCCUACCAAGGCAACGAUCAGUAGCCGGCCUGAGAGGGUGAACGGCCACAUUGGGACUGAGACACGGCCCAAACUCCUACGGGAGGCAGCAGUGAGGAAUAUUGGUCAAUGGGCGGGAGCCUGAACCAGCCAAGUCGCGUGAGGGAUGACGGUCCUACGGAUUGUAAACCUCUUUUGCCGGGGAGCAAGCGUGCGUUCGUGAACGCGCGUCGAGAGUACCCGGAGAAAAAGCAUCGGCUAACUCCGUGCCAGCAGCCGCGGUAAUACGGAGGAUGCGAGCGUUAUCCGGAUUUAUUGGGUUUAAAGGGUGCGUAGGCGGGAUGCCAAGUCAGCGGUAAAAAUGCGGUGCUCAACGCCGUCGAGCCGUUGAAACUGGCGUUCUUGAGUGGGCGAGAAGUAUGCGGAAUGCGUGGUGUAGCGGUGAAAUGCAUAGAUAUCACGCAGAACUCCGAUUGCGAAGGCAGCAUACCGGCGCCCUACUGACGCUGAGGCACGAAAGCGUGGGUAUCGAACAGGAUUAGAUACCCUGGUAGUCCACGCAGUAAACGAUGAAUGCUAACUGUCCGGUGCGAGUGAGUGCUGGGCGGUACAGCGAAAGCGUUAAGCAUUCCACCUGGGGAGUACGCCGGCAACGGUGAAACUCAAAGGAAUUGACGGGGGCCCGCACAAGCGGAGGAACAUGUGGUUUAAUUCGAUGAUACGCGAGGAACCUUACCCGGGCUCAAACGCAGGAUGACGGGUCCCGAAAGGGGCCUUUCUUCGGACAUUCUGCGAGGUGCUGCAUGGUUGUCGUCAGCUCGUGCCGUGAGGUGUCGGCUUAAGUGCCAUAACGAGCGCAACCCCUGUCCACAGUUGCCAGCAGGUAAAGCUGGGGACUCUGUGGAGACUGCCGGCGCAAGCUGCGAGGAAGGCGGGGAUGACGUCAAAUCAGCACGGCCCUUACGUCCGGGGCGACACACGUGUUACAAUGGCAGGUACAGCGGGAUGCCACGGGGCGACCCGGCGCUGAACCCGAAAACCUGUCUCAGUUCGGAUUGGAGUCUGCAACCCGACUCCAUGAAGCUGGAUUCGCUAGUAAUCGCGCAUCAGCCACGGCGCGGUGAAUACGUUCCCGGGCCUUGUACACACCGCCCGUCAAGCCAUGGAAGCCGGGGGUACCUGAAGUGCGUGACCGCGAGGAGCGCCCUAGGGUAAAACCGGUGACUGGGGCU
Molecule: ribosomal RNA, 1452 nt
Filed under: uncultured bacterium
Lineage: Bacteria
Description: bacterial SSU rRNA
Rfam family: Bacterial small subunit ribosomal RNA
Source: RNAcentral